AACAAGGCGUACCUGCGGACCUGCGGAGGGAUCAUUACACAAAUAACAUAUGAAGGCUUGUACGCGGCUGUGCCCUUCUGGGUGCAGCGUCUGCUGCGGCUGGAUUAUUUAUUUUCACCCUUGUCUUUUGCGCACUUGUUGUUUCCUGGGCGGGUUCGCCCGCCACCAGGACCACAUGAUAAACCUUUUUUAUGCAGUUGCAAUCAGCGUCAGUACAACAAAAUGUAAAUCAUUUACAAC
Molecule: unclassified non-coding RNA, 240 nt
Filed under: soil metagenome
Description: partial contains 5.8S ribosomal RNA, internal transcribed spacer 2, and large subunit ribosomal RNA
Source: RNAcentral